Non-coding RNA from Pelodiscus sinensis (Chinese soft-shelled turtle), 837 nucleotides. The record is from RefSeq and is a predicted model, not a curated record. Lineage: Eukaryota; Metazoa; Chordata; Testudines; Trionychidae.
GGGGGAGGACCUGCUGAGAGAGCGCCAGAGUUAGAUGCAGCCUGAGCCACUGUGGUGACAGCCACAGCCCAGGGGACAUUCUGGAGGUAGAAAUGGUGCGUGUGGCUUGAUUGGCUGGGAGACAGGCUGUCUUGUGAAUAGUCUCUUCACAGGGAGACUGGUGCCUGCCAGGGGCGGGGGUGCAGGAAGGGCCACCCAGAGGGACUGGAGAGGGCACGAGAAAGCACCCAUCUGGUAAUUUAAGAUUUUUGAUUCGGGGAGCAGAGGGCGAUCGGGUAGUAACUCAGGUCUCUUGCCGGACCCCACCUUCUGCACUCAUCGUGCCAGAGGAACAGCCUUGAAAGACUUUUUACCCAGGGAGGGGAAAACUACAGUGAUCUGACCACAGGAUCAAGCCAGGAAGAGGGAGCAUCCCGAGUUACAAAGAGGGAGCCAUUGCGCCCAGGGCAGAGGGAUGGAGCGAAGGAGCGGCAUCACUCUGGUUGAGUUAGCUCUCAGAUGAGCCACCAGGAGGCGCUGCAGCUGAGAGUGGGGAGCACUGUUUCAGAACCACUUACUUUCUCCUCUUUUGUUUUUAAAAGUCAAACAAAGUAAAUUCAAAACAAAAUGUGGCUGAAACGUGCGUAGAAAGAAAAACGUGAAACUCCUUGUUCCAAAAAUGUCAAAAUGGGGUCUUCUACCAUAAGACUUCUUUCCAGUUCCUUUAAAAAAUAUUUCAUAAAAUUUCACAUGUUAACUAAAAUGGCAUUUUCUAAUGGAAAGCUGUAUUAACCAAAACCUUCCCCAGCAGCUCUAAUUAAAAGAUGAGUGAACAGGAGCGGCCAGUUUCUGGCUUUA